GUCUACACUGGCCAGGGUUCUGGGUAUAGUUGUGCCAGGUCACAGGCUGUCAACUUUGAAAAAGCCCUUGGUGCCCUCUCAUGACAUGGGUGUAAAUCCCCAAACAGGGCUGGACUCAUAGCUUCCCAGAAGUGAUAGUUUCUUUUCCUCAUCGACGAGGGUUUACAGUCAGGGAAACAGAGGGUAGAAAUGGGCAGUACCCACCCAAAGCUGUUCCUCUCUGGGUUCUCUGGAUUUGUCCAAAGGAGAAUAAGUUCACCGUUGUCACCCCUCACCCCAAACAAAAGCCACAAACAUGCUAGGGGGCCCCAGAAUGCUCCAUGGGAAAUCCAGGCCUCAGCAGCAACCUGGAAAAGGCCCAGACCACCACCUGCCCGAGAGGCCCACCACACUGGAGGCAGGACCACGGUCCCCUAUUUGAUCUCUGCCAACAGUUGGACUCUCUGCCUCUUGCUGUGUCUGUUUCUACCUGUCACCAUUUUUUUAAGGGGCAAAGUUUUAAUUGGCUCACAGCUGUCACCGUUCUUGUCUCCCCAGGGGUUUGGUUACCAGUAUCAGCCCCAUCACACCCAGAGCACCCGCCUGGCCAAGGGACCGGGCUCUUGUUUCUGGUGCAGGAGGCACAGGCCCACCCUCCACAUUCUCACCGCAUGUUAGAGGUUGUUCCUGAGGGCACAGACAGAGCAGGCUUCCUGAAGGAGGCAGCUGUGCAGCCCACAGAGUUUCACAGCGAGGAUGCCUGAGGAGCUUGUGCAGAUGUCUGCCUUAGCUCCCUCAUGGUGACAGAGUGGCCCUGGGAUGCCUUUCUGGAGGCUACAGGGUGGAGGAGGGAACUUCAUGGAGGCAUCUGGGUUGGAGCACAAGGCUGGAGGAGUUGCAAUGGAAGUGUUCUGUGAAGCCUAACUCGGUUCCUGAACAAGCAGCGAGGUACCAGCUGCAGUGUAUGCAUGACAGGCUGGAAGGACCCUGCUACUGCAAGGCAGGCGGCAGAACCACUGAGCCAAACCCCGGCCCCUGACAGGAUUUUCUCUUCAGAUCUACCAUGCAGACCUCCUCAUCUGUCAAGGACUACUCCCUCCCCAGCCCUGAGGCUGACCGUGGAUCUCUCAGAAUAAAGGCCAAAGUCCUGCAGUGC
This 1135-nucleotide long non-coding RNA is filed under the name Heterocephalus glaber (naked mole-rat). RNAcentral's name for it is "lncRNA (ENSHGLG00000050021.1)". The record is from RNAcentral. Lineage: Eukaryota; Metazoa; Chordata; Mammalia; Rodentia; Bathyergidae.